UCUCUCUCUCUCUCUCUUCCCUUGAAUGCUCAUGGCACCCAUGAACAGUUUGGCUUCUACUAAUAGUAAGAUGGUCAUGAACAGAGGAGCAUGGACAGCUGAGGAAGAUAGAAAACUGGCAGAGUAUAUUGAAGUUCAUGGUGCCAAGAGAUGGAAAACAGUUGCAAUGAAAGCAGGUUAAACUGCAUUAAUAUUAAUUCUAUUUUCUUGGAGCUGUAAAGAAAUAGAAUCCAGUUUGUGUAUGGGUUAGGCUGAUGGGUUUACAUGUUUUGUUGUCUGGUAUGCUUCUUCAGGUUUAAAGCGAUGCGGGAAGAGUUGCAGAUUGAGAUGGUUGAACUAUUUGAGACCCAACAUCAAGAGAGGCAACAUUUCAGAUGAAGAAGAGGACUUGAUUCUUAGACUUCAUAAACUACUCGGCAAUAGGUGGUCAUUGAUUGCUGGGAGACUUCCAGGACGAACGGACAAUGAAAUAAAGAACUACUGGAAUUCUCAUUUGAGCAAAAAAAUUAAUAAGAAGGAGAAAAAAACCAGAGUCUUCAAUUCCGCAGGAGAGCAUCCCCGAGAAGACAUGUGACACUGCUGCUGCUGCUCAUGAAAUGAUGGAAGAGGGCAGACAAGGAGCUGCUAUUCCGGAGCUUAGCUUCGAUGUCAACGAGUUCUUCGACUUCUCCACGGAAGGAUCCUACGGCUUGGAAUGGGUAAACAAGUUCCUUGAACUUGAUGAGGAUCCAUGGCUAACCGAGAAGAGCUGAGCAUUGUGUGUAUCAAAUUGGAAUGAGUCUUCUUUCUUCUCAUUAAUUUGUUAAAUACUGAUUUACAUGUAUAAUUUUAAUAAAAGUUUACUCAUUUUCG
RNAcentral lists this unclassified non-coding RNA (852 nucleotides) under Hevea brasiliensis (rubber tree). Lineage: Eukaryota; Viridiplantae; Streptophyta; Magnoliopsida; Malpighiales; Euphorbiaceae. The record is from RNAcentral.